UGUCAUAAUUCACACCUUUCUCCCUGAUAGGUUGCCGGCGAGAAAUGUGACGUUCAUGAGCAUAUGGAUGGCAUUUGCAUAGAGCCACUGAAAUGCAAGAAAAAUAUUUGUACUUAGAACUACACUGUUAAUCCUUGGAUUUCAGGAUGAAAAAGGAGUGGAAAUAUUUCAAGGCUGUAUCCUACUUCUCAGCAUCUUGGUGAAGAAUUAAAUGCCUUGUUAUUCAUGAAAAAUAAGAAGGAAAAAAUACAUAUUGUACAGUGAAAUGCAAGAAUGACGUAAAUGGCAAA
This is a long non-coding RNA of Penaeus monodon (black tiger shrimp), 290 nucleotides long. RefSeq lists it as uncharacterized. The record is from RefSeq and is a predicted model, not a curated record. Lineage: Eukaryota; Metazoa; Arthropoda; Malacostraca; Decapoda; Penaeidae. The transcript is spliced from 2 exons.